Molecule: ribosomal RNA, 283 nt
Filed under: Romboutsia timonensis
Lineage: Bacteria; Bacillati; Bacillota; Clostridia; Peptostreptococcales; Peptostreptococcaceae
Description: partial 16S ribosomal RNA
Rfam family: Bacterial small subunit ribosomal RNA
Source: RNAcentral
UCUUUUCCUUUUGUUUCAGCCGCCGCGGUAAUACGUAGGGGGCUAGCGUUAUCCGGAAUUACUGGGCGUAAAGGGUGCGUAGGUGGUUUCUUAAGUCAGAGGUGAAAGGCUACGGCUCAACCGUAGUAAGCCUUUGAAACUGGGAAACUUGAGUGCAGGAGAGGAGAGUGGAAUUCCUAGUGUAGCGGUGAAAUGCGUAGAUAUUAGGAGGAACACCAGUUGCGAAGGCGGCUCUCUGGACUGUAACUGACACUGAGGCACGAAAGCGUGGGGAGCAAACAGG